CCUACGGGAGGCAGCAGUAGGGAAUAUUGCUCAAUGGGGGAAACCCUGAAGCAGCCACGCCGCGUGGAGGAUGAAGGUUUUCGGAUUUUAAACUCUUUUUGUUAGAGAAGAUAAUGACGGUAUCUAACGAAUAAUCACCGGCUCACUCCGUUCCAGCAGCCUCUGUAAUAAGGAGGGUGCCAGCGUUACUCGGAAUCACUGGGCGUAAAGAGCGCGUAGGCGGGAUAGUAAGUCAGAUGUGAAAUCCUAUGGCUUAACCAUAAAAUUGCAGUUGAAACUGUUAUUCUAGAGUAUGGGAGAGGUAGGUGGAAUUCGUGGUGUAGGGGUAAAAUCCGUAGAGAUCAAGAGGAAUACUCAGUGCGAAGGCGACCUGCUAGACCAUAACUGACGCUGAUGCGCGAAAGCGUGGGGAGCAAACAGGAUUAGAUACCCCAGUAGUC
This 440-nucleotide ribosomal RNA is filed under the name uncultured bacterium. RNAcentral's name for it is "partial 16S ribosomal RNA". It matches the Rfam family "Bacterial small subunit ribosomal RNA", at positions 338 to 795 of the family's 1533-position model. The record is from RNAcentral.